This 64-nucleotide transfer RNA is filed under the name Bulinus globosus. RNAcentral describes it as "tRNA-Gly". The record is from RNAcentral. Lineage: Eukaryota; Metazoa; Mollusca; Gastropoda; Planorbidae.
UUUUUUGUAAUAUAAGUAUUAUAGUUACCUUCCAAGUAAAAAAUCUCAAAAGAGCUUAAAAGUA